Molecule: transfer RNA, 75 nt
Filed under: Nitrososphaera sp.
Lineage: Archaea; Thermoproteati; Nitrososphaerota; Nitrososphaeria; Nitrososphaerales; Nitrososphaeraceae
Description: tRNA-Asp
Rfam family: tRNA (bases 10-67)
About the family: Transfer RNA (tRNA) molecules are approximately 80 nucleotides in length. Their secondary structure includes four short double-helical elements and three loops (D, anti-codon, and T loops).
Source: RNAcentral
ACCAGAAUCGUACAAUCCGGUCUAGUAUGGGGGACUGUCACUCCUUCGACCCGGGUUCGAAUCCCGGCCCGGGCG